UUUGCCUCCCUGGCCAACAGACACUUGUGGCACAGUAGAUGAUGUGUAGCCGUACUGUCCUCACCACUGGCUCCCUCUGCAAACUGCAAUCUCAGGUUCUCUCACCCUCUUUGUGUCAGUGGCAGGUCUGGCAGGCAGCAUUCAGCGGAGCACACUGAAAUGGCAUGGCGAAGUUAAGCGUAUGUACACAGUGACACCUCCAACAGAAUAGUUGAUCCCAUUGCAGCCAGUUCACAUUAGGUGUCGACAAACAACUUUUUACAAGUUCAUCCCUCAAAUUACACGUCCUGCGAAAAGAAACUAGAGGGCAUUCUUUUG
Molecule: long non-coding RNA, 318 nt
Organism: Hyla sarda
Lineage: Eukaryota; Metazoa; Chordata; Amphibia; Anura; Hylidae
Exons: 4
Source: RefSeq, a predicted model, not a curated record